This 515-nucleotide ribosomal RNA is filed under the name uncultured bacterium. RNAcentral's name for it is "bacterial SSU rRNA". It matches the Rfam family "Bacterial small subunit ribosomal RNA", at positions 9 to 526 of the family's 1533-position model. The record is from RNAcentral.
GAGUUUGAUCCUGGCUCAGGAUGAACGCUGGCGGCGUGCCUAACACAUGCAAGUCGAACGAAGCACCUUUUAAGAUUCUUCGGAUGAUUGAUUGGUGACUGAGUGGCGGACGGGUGAGUAACGCGUGGGUAACCUGCCCUGUACAGGGGGAUAACAGUUGGAAACGGCUGCUAAUACCGCAUAAGCGCACGAGAGGACAUCCUUUCGUGUGAAAAACUCCGGUGGUACAGGAUGGGCCCGCGUCUGAUUAGCUGGUUGGUGAGGUAACGGCUCACCAAGGCGACGAUCAGUAGCCGGCUUGAGAGAGUGAACGGCCACAUUGGGACUGAGACACGGCCCAAACUCCUACGGGAGGCAGCAGUGGGGAAUAUUGCACAAUGGGGGAAACCCUGAUGCAGCGACGCCGCGUGAGUGAAGAAGUAUCUCGGUAUGUAAAGCUCUAUCAGCAGGGAAGAAAAUGACGGUACCUGACUAAGAAGCCCCGGCUAACUACGUGCCAGCCGCCGCGGUAAUUC